RNAcentral lists this ribosomal RNA (686 nucleotides) under uncultured bacterium. RNAcentral describes it as "bacterial SSU rRNA". It matches the Rfam family "Bacterial small subunit ribosomal RNA", at positions 1 to 688 of the family's 1533-position model. The record is from RNAcentral.
AAUUCGAUUGAGUUUGAUCCUGGCUCAGGAUGAACGCUGGCGGCGUGCUUAACACAUGCAAGUCAAGGGGGCCCGGGGCGCAAGCCUGGGGCAACCGGCGAACGGGUGCGUAACACGUGAGCAACCUACCCAGGUGUGGGGGAUAGCCGGCCCAACGGCCGGGUAAUACCGCAUACGCUCAACACGAGGCAUUUCGAGUUGAGGAAACCUUCGGGGCACCAUGAGGGGCUCGCGGCCUAUCAGCUAGUUGGCGAGGUAAUGGCUCACCAAGGCUACGACGGGUAGCUGGUCUGAGAGGAUGGCCAGCCACAUUGGGACUGAGAAACGGCCCAGACUCCUACGGGAGGCAGCAGUGGGGAAUCUUGCGCAAUGGCCUAACGGCUGACGCAGCGACGCCGCGUGAGGGAUGACGCUCUUCGGAGUGUAAACCUCUUUUGCCUGGAACGAACUAACAGCUUUUGCUGAUUUGACGGUACCGGGUGAAUAAGCACUGGCUAACUCCGUGCCAGCAGCCGCGGUAAUACGGGGGGUGCGAGCGUUGUCCGGAAUCACUGGGCGUAAAGGGCGCGUAGGUGGCAUGAUAAGGGUGUGGUGAAAGCCCGGGGCUCAACCCCGGGUCGGCCAUGCCGACUGUCAAGCUGGAGUACUGUAGGGGCAGGCGGAAUUCCGGGUGUAGCGGUGGAAUG